Molecule: ribosomal RNA, 502 nt
Filed under: uncultured bacterium
Lineage: Bacteria
Description: partial 16S ribosomal RNA
Rfam family: Bacterial small subunit ribosomal RNA
Source: RNAcentral
AUUGAACGCUGGCGGCAUGCCUUACACAUGCAAGUCGAACGGCAGCACAGGGGCAACUUGGGUGGCGAGUGGCGAACGGGUGAGUAAUAUAUCGGAACGUAUCCAAGAGAGGGGGACAACGCCGCGAAAGCGGCGCUAAUACCGCAUACGAUCUACGGAGGAAAGUGGGGGACCCGCAAGGGCCUCACGCUCGGGGGGCGGCCGAUAUCUGAUUAGCUAGUUGGUGAGGUAAAGGCUUACCAAGGCGAUGAUCAGUAGCUGGUCUGAGAGGACGACCAGCCACACUGGAACUGAGAGACGGUCCAGACUCCUACGGGAGGCAGCAGUGGGGAACUUUGGACAAUGGGCGCAAGCCUGAUCCAGCAAUGCCGCGUGAGUGAAGAAGGCCUUCGGGUUGUAAAGCUCUUUUGUCAGGGAAGAAACAGCGUUUUCGAAUAGGGAAUGCGAAUGACGGUACCUGAAGAAUAAGCACCGGCUAACUACGUGCCAGCCGCCGCGGUAA